Molecule: ribosomal RNA, 805 nt
Filed under: uncultured bacterium
Lineage: Bacteria
Description: bacterial SSU rRNA
Rfam family: Bacterial small subunit ribosomal RNA
Source: RNAcentral
AGAGUUUGAUCCUGGCUCAGAACGAACGCUGGCGGCGUGCUUAAUACAUGCAAGUCGUGCGAGAACGGGGGCUUCGGCCUCCUAGUAAAGCGGCGAACGGGUGCGUAACACGUGGGCAACCUGCCUAUCAGUUUGGGAUAAGCUCUCGAAAGGGGGUCUAAUACCGAAUGAUACCCAGAAGAGACAUCUCUUUUGGCUCAAAGACGGUGCAAGCCGUCGCUGAUAGAUGGGCCCGCGCCCCAUUAGCUAGUUGGUAGGGUAACGGCCUACCAAGGCUCCGAUGGGUAGCCGACCUGAGAGGGUGACCGGCCACACUGGGACUGAGAUACGGCCCAGACUCCUACGGGAGGCAGCAGUAGGGAAUAUUGCGCAAUGGAGGCAACUCUGACGCAGCAACGCCGCGUGGAUGAUGAAGCUCUUUGGAGUGUAAAGUCCUGUCGCCAGGGAAGAAACGAUGGAUGAGGAAAUGCAUUCGUCCUGACGGUACCUGGAGAGGAAGUUCCGGCUAACUCCGUGCCAGCAGCCGCGGUAACACGGGGGGAACGAGCGUUGUUCGGAUUUACUGGGCGUAAAGGGUGCGUAGGCGGGUUGGCAAGUCGGGUGUGAAAUUCCAUAGCUUAACUAUGGACCUGCAUUCGAAACUGUUGAUCUUGAGUACUGGAGAGGUGAGUGGAAUUCUCGGUGUAGCGGUGAAAUGCGUAGAUAUCGAGAGGAACACCGUUGGCGAAGGCGGCUCACUGGACAGAUACUGACGCUGAGGCACGAAGGUCGGGGGAGCAAACAGGAUUAGAUACCCUGGUAGUCG